GGUCCCAUAGUCUAGUGGUUAAGACGUAUCCUUGACGUGGAUGAGGCGGCAGUUCAAUUCUGCCUGGGGCCA
Molecule: transfer RNA, 72 nt
Filed under: Candidatus Pacearchaeota archaeon
Lineage: Archaea; Nanobdellati
Description: tRNA-Val
Rfam family: tRNA
About the family: Transfer RNA (tRNA) molecules are approximately 80 nucleotides in length. Their secondary structure includes four short double-helical elements and three loops (D, anti-codon, and T loops).
Source: RNAcentral